UAUCUAAUUAAGGUGCAUAUCUGUUUUAGUUUCUUCAUCUCUGGUGUUCUUUUUUAGCUUGUAGGCUUUGGUCGUCUGUUAUUAUCUGCUUACUUUUCCUUGGUUGUAGUUUGAUCCUAUGUUGGGAAUCAUGAAUGCUAAUUAACACACUUUUUGUUCAUGAGAACUUGAGACCUGAAUGUGUCGAUUCUUCCAUAUUAUACAUUAGAUAGGACAUAACGAAUAGUUUUAUUGCAUUCCAUUUGACAAUUCAUAGCUAACAUGAUUACAUAACUAAUUAUUUUAAUUUGUGGCGUUUGAUUAUUUCGAGUUCUACAGAUGGUGCAUUAUUGGUUAAACCAGCUGAAUAAAUGGACUAACUCUUUGAAUUUAACGAGUAGAAGACACUCAGCUGACAAACUGCUAGAGGCCACUUUAGUGCCUGCAACAGUACCAACAUGCCUGAUGGUUGGUCCAACAUAAUGAAAAAGCUGGAUGGAUAGGUGAAGACAGUGGCCAUGUUGCUAAAUACUGUUAAAAUCACAUUUUGUAUGUAGUAUAGUUAUGACUGUUAAAUACAGUCUCCCUUUAGCCUGUUAUACUUUGCUUUAUAAAGCAUCCUAACAAAACCUUUAAGUAUACAAAAACAUAUUCCAUAA
This is a non-coding RNA of Nicotiana tabacum (common tobacco), 638 nucleotides long. The record is from RefSeq and is a predicted model, not a curated record. Lineage: Eukaryota; Viridiplantae; Streptophyta; Magnoliopsida; Solanales; Solanaceae.